AUUGAACGCUGGCGGCAGGCUUAACACAUGCAAGUCGAGCGGGGUGAUGGUGCUUGCACUAUCACUUAGCGGCGGACGGGUGAGUAAUGCUUAGGAAUCUGCCUAUUAGUGGGGGACAACAUCUCGAAAGGGAUGCUAAUACCGCAUACGUCCUACGGGAGAAAGCAGGGGAUCACUUGUGACCUUGCGCUAAUAGAUGAGCCUAAGUCGGAUUAGCUAGUUGGUGGGGUAAAGGCCUACCAUGGCGACGAUCUGUAGCGGGUCUGAGAGGAUGAUCCGCCACACUGGGACUGAGAAACGGCCCAGACUCCUACGGGAGGCAGCAGUGGGGAAUAUUGGACAAUGGGGGGAACCCUGAUCCAGCCAUGCCGCGUGUGUGAAGAAGGCCUUAUGGUUGUAAAGCACUUUAAGCGAGGAGGAGGCUCUUUUGGUUAAUACCCAAGAUGAGUGGACGUUACUCGCAGAAUAAGCACCGGCUAACUCUGUGCCAGCCGCCGCCGUAA
Molecule: ribosomal RNA, 503 nt
Filed under: uncultured bacterium
Lineage: Bacteria
Description: partial 16S ribosomal RNA
Rfam family: Bacterial small subunit ribosomal RNA
Source: RNAcentral